GGAAUAUUGCACAAUGGGGGAAACCCUGAUGCAGCGAUGCCGCGUGGAGGAAGAAGGUUUUCGGAUUGUAAACUCCUUUUAUCAGGGACGAUAAUGACGGUACCUGAAGAAAAAGCUCCGGCUAACUACGUGCCAGCAGCCGCGGUAAUACGUAGGGAGCGAGCGUUGUCCGGAAUUACUGGGUGUAAAGGGAGCGUAGGCGGGACGGCAAGUCAGAUGUGAAAACUGAGGGCUCAACCUUCAGACUGCAUUUGAAACUGCUGUUCUUGAGUGAAGUAGAGGUAAGCGGAAUUCCUAGUGUAGCGGUGAAAUGCGUAGAUAUUAGGAGGAACAUCGGUGGCGAAGGCGGCUUACUGGGCUUUUACUGACGCUGAGGCUCGAAAGCGUGGGGAGCAAACA
This 399-nucleotide ribosomal RNA is filed under the name uncultured bacterium. Its description in RNAcentral is "bacterial SSU rRNA". It matches the Rfam family "Bacterial small subunit ribosomal RNA", at positions 358 to 774 of the family's 1533-position model. The record is from RNAcentral.